RNAcentral lists this ribosomal RNA (920 nucleotides) under uncultured Bacillota bacterium. RNAcentral's name for it is "bacterial SSU rRNA". It matches the Rfam family "Bacterial small subunit ribosomal RNA", at positions 1 to 917 of the family's 1533-position model. Lineage: Bacteria; Bacillati; Bacillota. The record is from RNAcentral.
UGGAUCCAGACUUUGAUCAUGGCUCAGGACGAACGCUGGCGGCGUGCCUAACACAUGCAAGUCGAACGGAACUUUUUUAAAAGAUUUCUUCGGAAUGAAUUUGAUUAAGUUUAGUGGCGGACGGGUGAGUAACGCGUGAGUAACCUGCCUCUAAGAGGGGAAUAACAAUCUGAAAAGAAUGCUAAUACCGCAUAAUAUAUAUUUAUCGCAUGGUAGAUAUAUCAAAGAUUUAUCGCUUAGAGAUGGACUCGCGUCCGAUUAGUUAGUUGGUGAGGUAACGGCUCACCAAGACUGCGAUCGGUAGCCGGACUGAGAGGUUGAACGGCCACAUUGGGACUGAGACACGGCCCAGACUCCUACGGGAGGCAGCAGUGGGGGAUAUUGCGCAAUGGGGGAAACCCUGACGCAGCAACGCCACGUGAAGGAUGAAGGUCUUCGGAUUGUAAACUUCUUUUAUUAAGGACGAAGAAAGUGACGGUACUUAAUGAAUAAGCUCCGGCUAACUACGUGCCAGCAGCCGCGGUAAUACGUAGGGAGCAAGCGUUGUCCGGAUUUACUGGGUGUAAAGGGUGCGUAGGCGGCUUUGCAAGUCAGAUGUGAAAUCUAUGGGCUCAACCCAUAGCCUGCAUUUGAAACUGCAGAGCUUGAGUGAAGUAGAGGCAGGCGGAAUUCCCCGUGUAGCGGUGAAAUGCGUAGAGAUGGGGAGGAACACCAGUGGCGAAGGCGGCCUGCUGGGCUUUAACUGACGCUGAGGCACGAAAGCGUGGGUAGCAAACAGGAUUAGAUACCCUGGUAGUCCACGCUGUAAACGAUGAUUACUAGGUGUGGGGGGUCUGACCCCCUCCGUGCCGGAGUUAACACAAUAAGUAAUCCACCUGGGGAGUACGGCCGCAAGGUUGCAACUCAAAGGAAUUGACGGA